This is a long non-coding RNA of Alosa alosa (allis shad), 510 nucleotides long. RefSeq lists it as uncharacterized. The record is from RefSeq and is a predicted model, not a curated record. NCBI's taxonomy places the organism in Eukaryota, Metazoa, Chordata, Actinopteri, Clupeiformes, Clupeidae. The transcript has 3 exons.
UAAUUCAUGUUCACGAUUCAUAUUCAACAAUGGGAAAACCCAUUUUCGGGGUGUUUCGUUAUUUCAUUGUUCAAAUACGUGAAAUGAAAUUGAGAGCACGGACUCGUCACCUUAUGCUAUUCUCAACUUUGAAAAUGAAAGUUGAACAAGGAUGUAUAUCAUUGUCCAAAUAGGCGAACGCACGGAACCGUCACCUUAUACCAUUCUCAACUUGGAAAAUGAAAAUUGAAACAAGGAAGUUGGGAGACAGGGGGGAAAGUGUCAAAAUAAAAGUUGCGUACGUCGUUAUGUCUGUCCGGUGCCAGACCGACGGGGAUGCCGAUGGACGCCUAAUCACGCCAGCACGCCGGCGAAAGAAGUUGUUCCAGCAGUAGCCUACCCGAGAAGCUCAGCAGUGCCAUUCAUAGAAUCGCUCAUCUAGCAAUACCAAGAAAGGCUUACUACUCUUCUCACCCUGACCAUGGACUAUUUUAACCCUUGAGGCAGACGUCUCUGCUGCAUCAAAACCAG